CCUACGGGAGGCAGCAGUGGGGAAUUUUGCGCAAUGGGGGAAACCCUGACGCAGCAACGCCGCGUGGAGGAUGAAAUCCCUUGGGAUGUAAACUCCUUUCGAUAGGGAAGAUAAUGACGGUACCUAUAGAAGAAGCCCCGGCUAACAUCGUGCCAGCAGCCGCGGUAAU
Molecule: ribosomal RNA, 169 nt
Filed under: uncultured bacterium
Lineage: Bacteria
Description: partial 16S ribosomal RNA
Rfam family: Bacterial small subunit ribosomal RNA
Source: RNAcentral